GAUGAACGCUAGCGGCAGGCCUAACACAUGCAAGUCGAGGGGCAGCAUAAAACAAGCUUGCUUGUUUGGUGGCGACCGGCGCACGGGUGCGUAACGCGUAUGCAAUCUACCCUGUACUGGGGGAUAGCCCGGAGAAAUUCGGAUUAAGACCCCAUAGCACUUAAGAAUGGCAUCAUUCAUAAGUUAAAGGUUACGGUACAGGAUGGGCAUGCGUCCCAUUAGCUAGAUGGUAAGGUAACGGCUUACCAUGGCAACGAUGGGUAGGGGCCUGAGAGGGUGGUCCCCCACACUGGUACUGAGACACGGACCAGACUCCUACGGGAGGCAGCAGUGAGGAAUAUUGGUCAAUGGGCGCAAGCCUGAACCAGCCAUGCCGCGUGCAGGAAGACGGUCCUAUGGAUUGUAAACUGCUUUUGUACAGGAAGAAACACUCCCUCGUGAGGGAGCUUGACGGUACUGUAAGAAUAAGGAUCGGCUAACUCCGUGCCAGCAG
RNAcentral lists this ribosomal RNA (493 nucleotides) under uncultured bacterium. RNAcentral's name for it is "bacterial SSU rRNA". It matches the Rfam family "Bacterial small subunit ribosomal RNA", at positions 28 to 514 of the family's 1533-position model. The record is from RNAcentral.